This 468-nucleotide ribosomal RNA is filed under the name uncultured bacterium. RNAcentral's name for it is "partial 16S ribosomal RNA". It matches the Rfam family "Bacterial small subunit ribosomal RNA", at positions 28 to 507 of the family's 1533-position model. The record is from RNAcentral.
GACGAACGCUGGCGGCGUGCUUAACACAUGCAAGUCGAACGGAAAGGCCCUGCUUUUGUGGGGUGCUCGAGUGGCGAACGGGUGAGUAACACGUGAGUAACCUGCCCUUGACUUUGGGAUAACUUCAGGAAACUGGGGCUAAUACCGGAUAGGAGCUCCUGCUGCAUGGUGGGGGUUGGAAAGUUUCGGCGGCUGGGGAUGGACUCGCGGCUUAUCAGCUUGUUGGUGGGGUAGUGGCUUACCAAGGCUUUGACGGGUAGCCGGCCUGAGAGGGUGACCGGCCACAUUGGGACUGAGAUACGGCCCAGACUCCUACGGGAGGCAGCAGUGGGGAAUAUCGCACAAUGGGCGGAAGCCUGAUGCAGCAACGCCGCGUGCGGGAUGACGGCCUUCGGGUUGUAAACCGCUUUCGCCUGCGACGAAGCGUGAGUGACGGUAAUGGGUAAAGAAGCACCGGCUAACUACGUG